UUCCAGACUCCUACGGGAGGCAGCAGUGAGGAAUAUUGGUCAAUGGACGCAAGUCUGAACCAGCCAAGUAGCGUGCAGGAUGACGGCCCUCCGGGUUGUAAACUGCUUUUAGUUGGGAAUAAAAGGGGGCUCGUGAGCCCCGUAUUGUAUGUACCAUCAGAAAAAGGACCGGCUAAUUCCGUGCCAGCAGCCGCGGUAAUACGGAAGGUCCGGGCGUUAUCCGGAUUUAUUGGGUUUAAAGGGUGCGUAGGCGGUUUUUUAAGUUAGUGGUUAAACGUCGGGGCUUCACCUUGAUUUGCCAUUAAUACUGUAAGACUCGAGUUCAGACGAGGUAGGCGGAAUAAGUUAAGUAGCGGUGAAAUGCUUAGAUAUAACUUAGAACUCCGAUAGCGAAGGCAGCUUACCAGACUGCGACUGACGCUGAAGCACGAGAGCGUGGGUAGCGAACAGGAUUAGAUACCCCCGUAGG
RNAcentral lists this ribosomal RNA (469 nucleotides) under uncultured bacterium. Its description in RNAcentral is "partial 16S ribosomal RNA". It matches the Rfam family "Bacterial small subunit ribosomal RNA", at positions 329 to 794 of the family's 1533-position model. The record is from RNAcentral.